This 4562-nucleotide long non-coding RNA is filed under the name Xyrichtys novacula (pearly razorfish). Lineage: Eukaryota; Metazoa; Chordata; Actinopteri; Labriformes; Labridae. The record is from RNAcentral.
CUCAGCAGACCACCGCCCUGUUACACUGCCUAACACAGAAAUAUCAUAGUGUGAUAAAAAAAAAUGUCAGACUAUAGUAUGAUAUAAAAAUGUUAUAGUACAGUUUGAUAAAAAUAUAGUAUAAUAAAAAAAGUCAUUGGAUAAAAUGAUAAAAACAUCAUAGGAUAGUAUGAUGAUAAAAUGUCAUAGUACAGUGUGAUAAAAAUGCCAUAUUAUAGUAUGGUAAAGUUAUACAUUAGUGGUGCAACGGAUCACAAAACUCACGGAUCGGAUCGUUCCUCGGAUCAAGAGUCACGGAUCGGAUCAUUUUUCGGAUCAGCAAAAAGAAAAAAUAUAUAUAAAUAAUAUAUAUAUAAAAGUAGUGCACAGGGCAUAAUAUCUUCUUUUUAAUAUAAUUAUUCAUGAAAAACAACUUAAAGUACAGUAUACAGGCAUAUCUCCUUCCUUUAAAAUGUAACAAUGAACCAGAAAUGAAGUGUGUGCGCGAUGGGAUGUCGUAACGUGACUCAAGCACUUUCAGCAUGUUUUUAAAGCCCUCGUUUUGCACAACUGAAUACGGCCUCAUGUCUGCAGCUAUAAACACACCGAUAGAGUUUGUGAAAGCUUUAGCCUGGUCGGAUUGCGCAGGAAGAGGCUGCUUAAAUGCUGCGGUGAUGAGCGGUUGUUGGGCAGCUUUCGUUUUAUCUCAGGUGUUAUGCCAAAGAAUGCACCCCUGCCGUAUAGUGCACCCCCUAACGGGAGCGCGGUUGAAAGUACAUAACAAGGCGAAAUAAUACAAGUUUUCCUUACGUUGGAUGUAUUCAACAGCGUUUGCCUUUAAUAAUUUCAUUCAGGCUAUUCAUAUCAAAUAUGAGAUCAUUAUCUCCACUUUAAGAAGCUAACGGGUGGAGGGGAUGCAGGGGGUGCGUUCUACGGCAGGGGUGCAAUCUACGGCACAACACCUGUCAGUAAAACACCCGGGUGAUGUCGCUUCAAAUGCGUGAACAUGCUCGAUGUGUUUCCACUGUCAUAUGGCUUUCUUAUGCCACAGUGCCUACACUCCGUCGCAGUUUUGUACACUGACCUCUUUCCUUCUUCAUCAUAAUUGACAGGGAAGCCAAAAUGCUCCCAUACAGGGGAUUUAAGUGUCGCGGGGCGUUCGAGCUCCUCCUUUCUCCGCUUUCAGAAAUCGAUCCGCGGAUCACAUGUGUGCCGAACCGAAUACGUCGAUCCGAACGGAUCACGGAUCAAUGAUGAUCCGUUGCACCACUACUAUACAUUAAAGUAUAAACAAAGGAAAGUGAAAAAAAAUUAAACUGAAGUAUGAAAAAAUGUCAGAGCAAUAUAUUAAAUAUAUAGUUUAGUAUGAUAAAAAUGUCGAAGUAUAGUUUGUUAAAAAAUCAGGGCUCUCAAGUCUCACGCACUCAGCGUGAGACACACGCAUUCCCACCUGUUCACACGCUCACACGCCACACAUCGUAUUUCUCACGCAUUUAAAUGAACAUGGUGAUGUUCACCAAGUUGCACCUCUUUAACUAUGGAACAGGUACGAAUCAACUGAGUUCCUCCGAGAGUUCAGAAGCUGCGUGCCACGCGCAAGCCAAUCAAAUAAAGUAUAUCUACUGAACAGCCAAUCAAAAAGCAGCAUUGCUGUAUCCGGGUAGAUUUUGAUAUCUUGCGGUUUGACUACAGAAGACAGACACUCGCCGUAAUAGAGCAGGUUAUUUAUAAGGACGAGAAAGACCCGAUGAUUACAGUAAGUCAGUAACCGACACAUGCAGAGACCUCAACACCUCAUGGCAGAUAAACUCAUAUGAUAAACUAAAGCCCUAUGCUAUUGCUAUUAACAGCUGUAUUGACGGAUUUAGCCUCCGUACAGCCAUUUCCAGCCAUUUUCCCCUCCACAAAAGCUGCAUUUCUCAUAUAUCUCAAAUAUAAGUUCUGAUACUCAUGACAGUGUAAUGCUCAUGUACCAAAGGAUUAAGUAUCUCCAUGUUUGUGAAACCUAUACUAAAGUACAAUUCAUCUAAAUGCUCCACAGUGCAGAUUUUAACAACUUUACGACUUAAUACUUAUACAUUAAUGAUUUUAUUCUCCCAAAUAAUAACUUUAUUCUGUAAGAUAUAAAAACGUUUUUUUCUAAUUGUGCCCCUUGUGCUCCGUUGUAUUUAAGAGAUAAUUAUACUAAUAGUUAUCUUCACCCCCCCCCCCCCCCAGGAAAUCUCACUCUAAGCUUAGUUCAAAACUUGAGAGCCCUGAAAAAAUGUCAGAGUACAGUACGAUAAAGUCGACCCGGCUGCCAAAUUCAUGGAGUUUUUGAGCCCCAGAGGGUGUAAAGGUUUUAAAGUUAAUGAUAAUAAUAAGUAUAAUAAUAACAAUAAUGAAAAUAAUAAUAAUUCCUGUAAUUUCAAUAAAGCUCAGACAGGAAGCUCCCCUCAGUCUGCUUCAUCCAGAACCUGCUCCGUAUUGUGGUUACAGCAGGCGUGACUAAUCGAUCACAGGCAUCAUUCCGGAGAGACUAAACAAGUUGAUCACAGAUCAAAUGUAGGAAAGCGUGUUGCAUUCACUCAUUCAUGUAACGACGAGAGAAGCUCUAGAAAAAGGAAACGUCUGUUUUUAUUCCAGCUGCUGUGACGGUGGGUAAACAGGAAACAGACGACAGAGUCCGGUCAGGUGUGUCAACUUUUUAAUAAAUAAACCGGAAAUCAGUUUCCAGGACAGAAAGCACUUGUGCGACAUUCGUGCGUAACAAACAGGAGCAUUCGUUGAGGCCAAAAGUUACGAGUUUAAAACGAUUCUGAGAGUGUAAACAGAGUCUGAUCAGAUCCAAAGGUGUAAAAUGCAACAGUGGAGGAGGCUUCACAUCACGGUUUUAGGUUAAAAGUGGGCUGGCUGUAGCCCACAUGCUCUGGUUUAGACCUGGUUCUGGUUCUGGUUCUUGGCCCGGCUGAAUGCCCUGCUGACAUCUGAAGUCUGAAAAGUCAAACACGUUGAAAAGCAGCGUACAAACACACGGCUAGCUACAGCAGAUGAGCGCGACACCCAUCGAAGGCACGCCAACAACACCCGGCUUCUUCCCCAGACGGUGAAUCCCGUCGAGACAAGGAGCUACGAUGAUCGGCCGCCUCUCAAAGAAGGUCAAAGGUCAAUUAAAAAUGCCUCUUUGGCACUUAAAACUACACGUUAAAGGAACAGUUCCACAUUUGUUCAUUUCUGUCUCUGUACGUUUGAUAGGAAGCCACAGCCUGUUAGCCAACACCGAGGGCGGACACGGGAAAGAGCGAGCGCGUUUAAAAUCUGACCUAAACGCUCAGGUCCACGAAAAAAACGUUUUCACCAGUUUAGAGAAACGGCGGCUUCAGCCAUGACUGUUACAUUUCCAUAUGUCCUCUUAACGGGGCCAAAGUUACACACCUGUUCUUGUCUGCUUGUACAUGGACACCGUUGCUAUGGUGAUUGGGGUCUCCCAGGGUAAAAGGAGGGAAAAACACGAUCAGCUGUUAAACAGGAAACAGCUGACCCUUCAGAUCUGCUGAACCUGUUCAUAGUCCUGAAACUGAACCCGGACAAAUUCUCAUUUCUUCCACUUUAAAGGGAUAAAAAUUAAUUUAGGGUCAAACCCACCGUAACACCGAGUCAGACCCCCCCCUCCAGAGAUGAAUGUUAUUACUUCAAGGAAAUGAUAAAGAAAUGAUCAUAAAUGUUCUUCCUUGAGCUGCGGCACCCCGCUGUAGUCCAUAAUGGAAGAGAGUAGGUGAGUUGUGUUUAGUCUCUUUGCUAAAGAAAUGAGUCAAAGUUAAAAAGAUGUUUGGUGUCUAGUACUAUGGCUGUGACCCUAUAUGUACUAACCUCAGUAGAACAUGGUGUAGUUCCGUUCAGUAACAGAACCUCAUUGGAAAAUUAGCUGAUUUAACUUUACUGUGCUCUUGUUCACAUAUAUUAACUCAACAGCACAUAAAUCCAUACCUGUUAACAAAAUCAUGAUUUUAUUGAUAAUUCGGCUCAAUAAAAACACCUUUACCUUUUCAUUUUACUACAGUAGAAGUUUAUUGGCCCAGUUUAUAGACUACAGAGGUGGAGAAACGCCCCCGCUUAAGUUUAUGUUUUCUGAAUAUAGUACUAUGUCUGUGACCCUAUAUGUCCUGUUGAUGAAGUUAGGUGCUGUUCUGAGCAUUAUUUGUGGCUAUAGAGUGGCGUUUUGGUUGGGGGCGUGGCUCUCUGUAUUACUAUCCUGCGGUCGUUACUAAAGUUGGUAUAACUAGAGAAGGAAGCGGUCGACAACAUUCAUCUCUGGAGGGGGCGGGGUCUAACUGGGUGUUACAGUGGGUUUGACCCUAAAUUAAUAUAACGCCAGAAUAUCCUUUUGAAUUGGUAAGAAAAAAAAAAACAGCAUACAUUAAUCUGCCUGUAGAGGGUAAACGUGUGUGUGUGUGUGUGUGUGUGUGUGUUCACUGAGAACACACUCGGUGUAAAAUCUCAGCAGCUGAGCUUCAUAUCAAACAGAGACGAGAGCGGCGUCCAUCUUUCUGUCUGUAUUCACUCAUGUUCAGCCUCUAGUGGACACUCAGGGAAGUGCGGUUUUU